UUUAUUUGUUUACCUUCUUGUGUCAAAAAGCUAAGCAGANCUGGACNNGGUUAGUAUUUGGAUAGGAGACCACCAGGAAAUCCCAAAGUGGUGGAUAAGA
This 100-nucleotide ribosomal RNA is filed under the name Salvator merianae (Argentine black and white tegu). Lineage: Eukaryota; Metazoa; Chordata; Lepidosauria; Squamata; Teiidae. The record is from RNAcentral.